CACAGCUCACCGCCAUCGUUGAAGUUCUGCUUCUCAAUGACGCUCUCCUUCAACAUUUCCAUGUUCUGUGUAUCAAGCAGUAAUCUUUCGGAAAUUUGCGAUCGUAUUCCUUAACAUUGGAGUUUCUACUUAGGUCAUUUUCUACGAAGGAUGUUGAACAUGCAAUUGCCCUAGGGAGCUUCGUAAUCUCAUCCAGGUUUACAACAAUUUCCUUCGAGAUUCAGUGAAUUCCUAAGAUCGGAUGCUUUCCAUCUUUUGGAUCGGCAUUUACUCCAAUGAAAAUUAAAAUAAUAAUGAAAAAAAAAUCAAAAACAAAAUCAAUUCUGAAAUGUAAAGUAAGACAACUUCCACUAAGUUGUAGGCCAUACCUAACAGGGGGGGUGCCAACUGAAGACCUGGUUCUAAAAGCUUUCUCAAACAAUUACUUUUGUCACAAUUCCCAGUAUCUUCAGGAUAUACCGGCAACCUGCAUCAUACUAAACAAAACAAAC
Molecule: long non-coding RNA, 491 nt
Filed under: Physcomitrium patens
Lineage: Eukaryota; Viridiplantae; Streptophyta; Bryopsida; Funariales; Funariaceae
Description: long non-coding RNA (PPAT_LNC010312)
Source: RNAcentral